RNAcentral lists this ribosomal RNA (325 nucleotides) under uncultured eukaryote. Its description in RNAcentral is "partial 18S ribosomal RNA". It matches the Rfam family "Eukaryotic small subunit ribosomal RNA", at positions 1470 to 1796 of the family's 1831-position model. The record is from RNAcentral.
CCCUUAGAUGUUCUGGGCCGCACGCGUGCUACACUGAGUGGAUCAGCGGGUCAGGUUGCGCGAAAGCGUUUCCUAAUCUUUAAAUCCGCUCGUGAUGGGGAUUGACGGUUGCAAUUUUCUGUCAUGAACGAGGAAUACCUUGUAAGCGCGGGUCAUCAUCCCGCGCUGAAUACGUCCCUGCCCUUUGUACACACCGCCCGUCGCACCUACCGAUUGAAUGGUCCGGUGAAAUCUUUGGACCGUGACAUAGUUUUGCUUUCGGGCAAAACGUUGUCGUGGGAAGUUGAUUAAACCUUACCAUUUAGAGGAAGGUGAAGUCGUAACA